GUGCGCUCCCCGCCGAGGCUCCCCUCGACGCCUGGGCCGCCGCGCAACCGCACUGGAGCGGCUUCUCCCGCUGCCGUCUUCGCGCAGGGUUGAGUUUGUGCAUCGAUUGUGAACACAACAGGCAGCAGGCUAUAAUGGUGGUCCUGGCUGGAGUAGUUUUCACAGACUUCAGUAAUCUGUGGAGAUGAACGGGCAGUUCUCUGUAGUUUUCACAGAUCACUGCCAGUUCGUUUUGAGGCCUUCAGGAGUGAAGACCUGGCUCAUCAUCACUCUUUGUUGUUUUGUUAAAUUUAUUUACACCCUACUUUAUUCCAGAGGAAAGGAUUUAACGUAGUUUACAUAAAUGUGUACAUCAGGGUAAAUUAAAAAUAAGUACAGAGAAAAAUAGGACAAAAGAAAACCGUGAGUGUGAAAGAUAAGAUUAAGCCAGCAGUUUUGUAUGCAAAAUGCAUGGUGUAAGGUCCUAUUGGUUUGCUGGAGGUAGGCCACACAUAUGACUCUCAGUUUUCUAGCAACCAAGAAAAAGAUCAGUUGCAAUCGGAGUAGGUGUUUUGGCUAAGCUGGAACUAGGACUUGAAUAUAGCAGCUUGUAGAGUUAUACCACUUGCCCAAAUCUCUUCCAUGAGCCUCUUUAAGUGUAACAGAAUGCCUGGGAGCACGUAAAUGCUCCUACUUAGAUGCCUACUUAGCCUCUAAUUUUCAUGGGGCCCAUGAAUCCCAUGAAAAAGAACUUUGAACCCUGUCCACAAUUAGAGUUCAGGUAUACGCAGACAUGUUUAAAGACAAGGGACACCCAAAGGAAAGAUUGCACAGAGAGAAAGUGAGCAUCCGAGAGAAAAUCACCACAAGUGAGGCAGAGGGAGGCCGGUCUCAGCAGAGUUUUGGAGGUCGUGAGAAGAAGAGGUAGGAGAUAGGAGAGUGGUUCCGAGUACUUGCCUGCUGAUGUUACCUUCUCCACCCCCACCAGGUUUUCCAGUGCCUGGAGUCUUGGGCAGGAAUGGGCCACUGUAAGAAAGAGCUUUAUCACUAGGGCCUCAGCCAACUUUUCUGUGGGAUAUCCCUCCAAAAUAAUUAAGAGUUCAGAAUGCUUCAGAUUUUGAAGUGAAACUGGUACAUAUAUUAAGUGUUACUUAAUAACCCGAUAGUUUCUAGGGCAGCUCACCAUAAUCCCAAGUAUUAGCCACCACCCUCACCCCCUUCAGAGUAAAAUGUGUUUCCUGAAGGAAGUUGGGAAAAUGAAGAAAAAAAAUACAAAAAUCACCUAUAAUCUUACCAGUCAUAGAUGGCAGUUUUCCUGUCUUAUUUCUGAAUAAUGGUUGUUAAACAUUUGCCAGCACACCAUAAGGCUUAGGGAGGCAUCUGGGUCAUGCAUGUUAAUAUCCUUGGGUAAUUCCAGAAAUCUCUAUGAAGGGAAACUCCUGUUAUUUAUCUAGACUUCCUGAUUGCAAGGGGUUUGGGCAUCAUGAUUUAGGGGUCUUAAUAAAAUUAUUAUUUUAUUUUUACUAAUAGAUAAUGUCUGUGCCUAUCAGAUAAAGGCAAACCAGUGCUCAGAGGAACCCAACCAUCUCUGAAUUGAGACCAGAGAGCUGUCUCUAUGGAUAGUCCUUAGAGAAGGCAUUUCGGAACACAGUAAACAGCAGCCUGGUGACUCCGAUUACAGGGCCAGUUGCCUUUGUUACAAUAAAAGCAAGUCAUCUACACAGAUUUUUCCUACCAGGAAGAGCAUGUGCUGACCAACAGACAUGAAUUUCAGCCUGGUAGUUACAACAUUCACAGUAUACCCACAUCACUAAGCUGGGAGGCACAUUUUGAGACCCAGAAUCCUGACACCUCCAUGCCUUCAAAAGGAUACCGAGGUCUCCCUGUAUUGCCCAGGCUGGUCUCAAACCCCUGGCCUCCAGCGAUCCUUCCACCUCAGCCUCCCAAAGUGCUGGAAUUACAGGUUUGAGCCACUGUGCCCAGUUUCUUCUGUGCUCUUGAUGGAAAACUUAUUAUUACUGCUACUCUCCUCCUUGCCCAUCAGCCAUACUCUGGCUGCAUUAGCUUUCUUUGUAUUCCCAGCACUCCCCAGGCCUGUUGUUCCUUUUGGGUCUUUGUCUGGGGUCUUGCUCUAGCUGUAAUGUUCUUUACCCUUAGAUUCCCAUGAUUGGCUCCUUCUUGUCCCUAAGUCUCAGCUAAAGUGUUAUCCUGAAGAAAGGCCUUCACUGAUGAUCCCAUCCAAAGUAAUCACUGUAUUACACCAUUCAAUUUUAUUCUUUGCAUAGCAUUUACCCAUUGCUAAUAUUUUUCUUAUUUAUUUAUUUUUUUUAAAUAAUCUAUCUCCUGUCAACUAGAAUGUAAGCCCUGAUAGGGCAGGACUCUUUUAUUACACUGUAUUUUCAUUAUUAUAUCUACAGUGCCAAAAACUAUCCCUAACACAGGGGAGAUGCUCUAUACAUGUUUGGGGAGGAGGGAGGAAGGAAGGGAGGGAGGGAGAGAGGAAAGAAGGAAGGAAGGUGGGAAGAAAGGAAAGAAAGGAAGACAAUUGGGAAGGAUUUUUCUGAUCUGAGGCUGAUUGUUGGAGGCAUCCAACUGGUUAUUAUUUUGCUUAACAGCAAAAUAUUUUUAUCCACCUCCUUUGGAAACAAGAGAUCUUAAAGAUGUUUUGAGUUGAUUACAUAAGACUAUUUAACAGUGGUUAUGAAAACAGAUGAGUUAUCCUGAGAGGCUUUACUAGAUAUUUGUCAUCAUGAGCUCAGUCUCAUAAGUUAUUAUAAUAGAAAAUCAGGAAAAACUGCUUAUGUGUUUGAAUUCAAGUAGCUAAGUCUCAAAAUAUAAUAAAAAACAGUUGCACUACAGAUUUUCUUUCAAAAUAGCUCAAAAAUACCUUGUUGGCAGCAAAGGGAGUAAUAAUAAAAUAUCUUCCAAAAAACCUGAAAAUAGGAAAUAAAUUUGCCUUCUGAGAGUUAAACCAGUCAUACACACACACACACACACACACACACACACGUGCACACAUGCACACAUGUGCACGCAUGUGAACAUGCAUAGAAUCACACAGAGAUUAGGCUAAACCCAAUGAGGGAGUAAACUGAGAGAUAACCAGUGUGUACCUGAAGACUUUGGGAAUACCCCUAACUUCAGUGACCUGGGGGUAAUCCAGGAAGGCAAUCACCAGAAUGUGUUUGUUAAUUUAAUCCGUUGUAUGGAGAAAGUCUGGAUGAACAGAGGAUGUAGGCAGAGAGCUGUCAGCCUGUAGCCUGGAAAACCUCAACCUAAGAAGCAAGGAGUGGGUAGCACACUCCCAACUACUGUUCAAGAGAGAAGGGGCCUUGGCCUAAGGAUUUGAGCUCUCAGGUCUCUGUGGCAAAUGUAUCUUUGGAUAAGUCAUCUACCCACCUCUCCUUACUCAGAUUUCAUGCUCCACAUGGCUCCCUGUGUGCUGAAGCCUGAUUAUAGGAAGCAAAGACUCUGGUCUGCUGAUGUGAAGGCUCACCUGUUAGCUGGUUGCAUUUAUGGUUAAAAUGGAAUGAAUUUGAAUUCUGGCUAUACAGCAGUCUCUGUGAGCUUGGGUUAGUAUGAGUUUACCUGUGAGAUAAAGUUCCAGAGCAGAGUGACUUGUGACUUGUGUUGGGUCCAUACUAAGUGGCAGACAGUGGACCAGAAUUUAUACCACAAAUCCAGGUUGGCUCUGAGAAGACACUGCCACUAAGGACUGAUCUAAACUCAGUUCCCUUUCAAGUUCACCAAUUGUAUGACUCACAUGACAUUGAAUGAGGCCGGGAGUGUGAUACUAGCUGGACUCACCUUCAAGAACCCAAAAGACCCCAGUGGAUAAGAUGUGGAUACUCUAGUCCAUGGGUCAGCAAACUUUUUCUGUGAAGGGCCAGAAAACAAAUCUAUUAGGCUUGUGGACCACAUACAGCCUCUAUUACAUAUUUGUUAUCUUC
RNAcentral lists this long non-coding RNA (3929 nucleotides) under Homo sapiens (human). Its description in RNAcentral is "HSALNT0301369". The record is from RNAcentral. Lineage: Eukaryota; Metazoa; Chordata; Mammalia; Primates; Hominidae.